GGAGGUAGUGACAAUAAAUCUCAAUACGAAGCCUUUGGUUUUGUAAUUGAAUUGAGAACAAUGUACAAUCGUUAUCGAUAAACAAUUGGAGGGCAAGUCUGGUGCCAGCAGCCGCGGUAAUUCCAGCUCCAAUAGCGUAUAUUAACGUUGUUGCAGUUAAAAAGCUCGUAGUUGAAGUUUAGAUAAUUUAUUGAAAGUGUUUGUAUUCGUACAUUCUACUUUUAUGUAAGUUAUCGACAUCCAGGUGGGUGCUCUGAUUCCUUCGGGGGUUAGGGUACUAGACUGGUCAUUUACUGUGAGAAAAUUAGAGUGUUUAAAGCAGACUUUCUAAAUAGUUUGAAUAGAUUAGCAUGGAAUAAUAAGAUUGGCUUUCAUAGUCGAUUUUUUGGUUUGUUUAUGAAAGCAAGAUUAAUAGGGACAGUUGGGGGUAUUCAUAUUCAAUAGCUAGAGGUGAAAUUCUAUGAUUUAUGGAAGAUGAACAAGUGCGAAAGCA
This 493-nucleotide ribosomal RNA is filed under the name Blastocystis sp. Its description in RNAcentral is "SSU rRNA". It matches the Rfam family "Eukaryotic small subunit ribosomal RNA", at positions 460 to 953 of the family's 1831-position model. The record is from RNAcentral. Lineage: Eukaryota; Bigyra; Opalinata; Blastocystidae.